RNAcentral lists this ribosomal RNA (247 nucleotides) under uncultured bacterium. RNAcentral's name for it is "partial 16S ribosomal RNA". It matches the Rfam family "Bacterial small subunit ribosomal RNA", at positions 523 to 769 of the family's 1533-position model. The record is from RNAcentral.
AUACAUAGGGAGCAAGCGUUGUCCGGAUUUACUGGGUGUAAAGGGUGCGUAGGCGGCAAGGCAAGUCAGAUGUGAAAUGUAAGGGCUCAACCCUUAAGCUGCAUUUGAAACUGUUUUGCUUGAGUGAAGUAGAGGCAGGCGGAAUUCCCGGUGUAGCGGUGAAAUGCGUAGAGAUCGGGAGGAACACCAGUGGCGAAGGCGGCCUGCUGGGCUUUAACUGACGCUGAGGCACGAAAGCGUGGGUAGC